This 598-nucleotide ribosomal RNA is filed under the name uncultured bacterium. Its description in RNAcentral is "partial 16S ribosomal RNA". It matches the Rfam family "Bacterial small subunit ribosomal RNA", at positions 1 to 477 of the family's 1533-position model. The record is from RNAcentral.
AGCCGGUCUCGCGAAUGCUUAGAUUAAGUUUGAUCAUGGCUCAGACCGAAGCGCGUUACGGCAGGCCUAACACAUGCAAGUCGAGCGGAUGACGGGAGCUUGCUCCUUGAUUCAGCGGCGGACGGGUGAGUAAUGCCUAGGAAUCUGCCUGGUAGUGGGGGACAACGUUUCGAAAGGAACGCUAAUACCGCAUACGUCCUACGGGAGAAAGCAGGGGACCUUCGGGCCUUGCGCUAUCAGAUGAGCCUAGGUCGGAUUAGCUAGUUGGUGAGGUAAUGGCUCACCAAGGCGACGAUCCGUAACUGGUCUGAGAGGAUGAUCAGUCACACUGGAACUGAGACACGGUCCAGACUCCUACGGGAGUGCAGCAGUGGGGAAUAUUGGACAAUGGGCUGAAAGGCCUUGAAUUUUCCCCACCCNAAAUGGGAANNCCCNUGCCCGAAAAAAGUGUUUUNGGGGAAGACACACAANAGACCCCCCAUUAGUGAGGAGCAAAUCACNCCAAUGAUAGAGANAGAAAAGUAUUUUUUUUGGGGAGUUUUUUGGGGGUGANAANUAAUUUUUUUACAGGGGNAGUGUAUAAAAAAUAGUGAAAAAA